Molecule: ribosomal RNA, 887 nt
Filed under: uncultured bacterium
Lineage: Bacteria
Description: bacterial SSU rRNA
Rfam family: Bacterial small subunit ribosomal RNA
Source: RNAcentral
CUAGCGAUAGGCCUAACACAUGCAAGUCGAGGGGCAGCAUAGGGUAGCAAUACUUUGAUGGCGACCGGCGCACGGGUGAGUAACGCGUAUGCAACCUACCUAUAACAGGGGAAUAAGCCCGGAGAAAUUCGGACUAAUACCGCAUAAAACAGGGGCUCCGCAUGGUGAUAUUUGUUAAAGAUUUAUCGGUUAUAGAUGGGCAUGCGUUCCAUUAGCCAGUUGGUGAGGUAACGGCUCACCAAAGCAACGAUGGAUAGGGGUUCUGAGAGGUUUGUCCCCCACACUGGAACUGAGACACGGACCAGACUCCUACGGGAGGCAGCAGUGAGGAAUAUUGGUCAAUGGGCGAGAGCCUGAACCAGCCAAAUCGCGUGAAGGAAGACUGCCUUAUGGGUUGUAAACUUCUUUUAUACAGGAAUAAAAAGAUUACGUGUAACUUAUUGCAAGUACAGUACGAAUAAGCAUCGGCUAACUCCGUGCCAGCAGCCGCGGUAAUACGGAGGAUGCGAGCGUUAUCCGGAUUUAUUGGGUUUAAAGGGUGCGCAGGCGGGAACUUAAGUCAGCGGUGAAAUCUCGACGCUUAACGUCGAAACUGCCGUUGAAACUGGGUUUCUUGAGUAUAGAUGAAGUAGGCGGAAUUCGUUGUGUAGCGGUGACAUGCUUAGAUAUAACGAGGAACUCCGAUUGCGUAGGCAGCUUACUAAGCUAUAACUGACGCUGAAGCACGAAAGCGUGGGGAUCAAACAGGAUUAGAUACCCUGGUAGUCCACGCCGUAAACGAUGAUUACUAGUUGUAUGCGAUAUACCGUAUGUGACUAAGCGAAAGCGAUAAGUAAUCCACCUGGGGAGUACGCCGGCAACGGUGAAACUCAAAGGAAUUGACGGGG